This 494-nucleotide ribosomal RNA is filed under the name uncultured bacterium. RNAcentral's name for it is "partial 16S ribosomal RNA". It matches the Rfam family "Bacterial small subunit ribosomal RNA", at positions 28 to 507 of the family's 1533-position model. The record is from RNAcentral.
GACGAACGCUGGCGGCGUGCUUAACACAUGCAAGUCGAACGGAAAGGCCUGCUUUCCCUUGUGGAUUGCGGGUACUCGAGUGGCGAACGGGUGAGUAACACGUGAGUGAUCUGCCCCCAACUUGGGUAUAAGCCUGGGAAACUGGGUCUAAUUCCCGAUAGGACUGCAGGGUGGUGCCUGUGGUGGAAAACGAUUUUCUAGUGGUUGGGGAUGAGCUCGCGGCCUAUCAGCUUGUUGGUGGGGUAAUGGCCUACCAAGGCGGCGACGGGUAGCCGGCCUGAGAGGGUGGACGGCCACAUUGAGACUGAGAUACGGCCCAGACUCCUACGGGAGGCAGCAGUGGGGAAUAUUGGACAAUGGGCGGAAGCCUGAUGCAGCGACGCCGCGUGGGGGAUGACGGCCUUCGGGUUGUAAACUCCUUUCGACCGCGAGGAAGCCACCUGGUUGGAAGGGUGGUGACGGUAGUGGUAGAAGAAGCACCGGCUAACUACGUG